This is a long non-coding RNA of Rosa rugosa (rugosa rose), 2390 nucleotides long. RefSeq lists it as uncharacterized. The record is from RefSeq and is a predicted model, not a curated record. NCBI's taxonomy places the organism in Eukaryota, Viridiplantae, Streptophyta, Magnoliopsida, Rosales, Rosaceae. The transcript is spliced from 3 exons.
UUGAGUGUAAAAUAUGAAACAGGGAUAGCCACGUAAAUACAAAAAAAACCAAUGAAAAAUUAUAAAUAUGAAAUCGUGUGAUUGGAAAAAAGGAAAAACGGUAGCCCGCGGUUAGCACGAUUGGAGAGCACGCCAUCACCAGAUAAAAGAGUAACCAUCAGGGAGCACAAUCGGAGACUGGAGACAACGUGGGAGAUGAUCGGAGUAGAUAUGGCCUCAUCGCUAUUCACCCGUCUCUCAGUUUACAAUUCAUUUGAAAAGAGAAAACUCACACGGGAAGAGGAGCAGAGCAAACUCAAACCCAGAGUGAGGGAAAGAUUAGUAUCAAAAUCGGUUGCAGAUUCACGUUUCUAAACAAACCUCUCGCCAACGAUUCUAUCUGGGUUUAAUAAAUCAAGCUUAAUGCCUUCAAAGAGUUUGGAGGGACUUUACAUACUUGGGUAGUUUCUAUAUAUCUUGAAGGAAUCGGAAAACUUUGGUUACAGGUAUGGUUUGGUGAUUUCAUUCAUUCUUGGUUUCACGUUUUCAGUUGAUCAUAGUAACCAAUUGCUGCUCAUGAACUGUUCGCUCAAUUGGGAUUUUCCUUUUUUUUUUUAGUGGUUACCGCUUGGUUUUCUUUCAAUUGUUGCAAGUGAAUUAAAUGGGAGAUUUCUGAACAUUGUGAGAAAAUGAUGUCUGCUAAUGUUGGUUCCAGGUAUGAAUGGGAGAUGCUUUUCAUUGAUGACCGUUGUUAGGCCUUUUCAUACAUUAUAUCCGCUGCCAAUUGUAUCUGGAUUCAAUUGCCAGAUACAGAUUAUAUAAAAGGAGAAACGCAGUCCAUAAAGACGAAAAGCGGAAAAUCAAAGAAAAAGGAAAAGAAGAAUAUCAACCAUCAUUAUUCGGUUCAAAAUUUCAAAUUCCGGUAUAACUUGCCAAUUGUUCUUUGGAUAUAUAGAUUGCAAUUCUGCACUUGAUUGCAAUUCGAUCUGCUCUAGCAUAGAUUGCACUUAUGUGUGAGCCUUGCUGAUUUAGUUUUUGGUUAAUCAAUAUUCUUUGUCAAUGGUUAAGUAAUUUGCUUGAAUCGGUUCAAAAUUCAUACUUUGAUUUUGUGUUUCUUCUUGCAGAGAGUAGGCAACUGAUGGUAUGAAUAAAACAAAUGCAGAAGUUUUACUGAAUUUUUUUUUUUUUUUUGAUGAACAGUUUACAGAAUUAUGUUUGUAGUGUUUAAGUGGUGAGAAAACAUUUCAUUCCUUGCUUCAAUGAAUAGAAAACAUAUAUUCAAUCUUGUGAGUUUGUGCUUUUUAAAUGUUGUUGCUUUCUUGGUGCAGGUAAUUGCAAUUAGUUCUUUUGGGUUAGUUGUUCAAUAUGUCAACUCUUAGUCCUACUUCUCGAUCAUAAUUUUUUCUUUUUCUCUUUCGACCUGCAAUCCAUCAUUAUUUUUUCAUUUUCUCUUUGAUUUUCAAUCCAUUUAGAAGGCAGAUAAUUACAGAAAAAACCUCGAUGUUUCAACAACUUAAAUAUUUGUUUCCGUAUUUUUUGUUUUAACAGGAUCAAAGUGAAAGUUAUGUUGCACGUCUCUAUUAUUUGGUCAGUUUCAAGAUCAGAAGAGAUGUUCAUUUUUGUUACUUUCUUUGGUCUUCAUUGAAGGGGAAACAGACGUUCUAUUAGCUAAUUGCUUGCGAGAUUGAUAUUUCUAUCUUUCCUGGUAGAUGGUGAAUCUUUGCUCUUCCGAAUGACUCUGCGUUUUACAUGGUAGUCAUUAGGCUUUUAUUUGUCUAUUAGUUUGUUUGUGUGCAAAUAGUGUGUUUCAUAGGGUUGAGAAGACUUCUUUGAUGAAUCGGUUUGUUUUAGUGAUUAGCUGUUUAAUUUCAAAGGUAUUGUGUUAUGUUGUUUAGAUAGAGCAAUUUUGCUUUUUCUUGACCAUAAUUCGUAUAGAUAUGUUAAUAAAAAGUUCAGCAAUCAAUAAGAGGUGACUACUGGAGCCGAUUUCUUGACAAAAGAAGUGCAGUUCGAAGAUAGGAUCUUCACCAUUCAGGUCUUUUUAGUCUUAGUUCAUCUUAUUGAUUCAAGCAUUCAAAUAUUACCGCACAAGGAUGUUUCUCGGUUUAAAUGUGGGGGAUGUGUUGGAAAGGAACUUUGUUGGGUGCGUGUUCCUUUUUGUCUUUGAAUUUGUUGUUUCAAACUUUCAAUCAGAAUGUAUGGUUCAUACUUUAGAGACAAACUUGAUAGAUGGUGCGAUAAAAGAGUUCGAACCUUAGGAUAUUAGCAAUAAGUAUAUUGCAUUAUUUUUGGUUGUUUGAUUAAGUGUAGUUGGGAUUUGCUGUCAUUUACUUCUUCUUCUUCUUCUUCUUCCUUUUUUUUUUUUUUUUUUUUGCAUUUUCAUUAGUGAGAAUACUUCUGCUUAAAUUGUA